CCCUUGCACUCACCGCCCGUCACAUCACUUGAAUCUGUUGCUCCCGAAGUCGCUGGCCUAACCGUAAGGAGGGCGGUUACCACGGUGCGUUUCGUGACUGGGGUUAA
RNAcentral lists this ribosomal RNA (107 nucleotides) under uncultured bacterium. Its description in RNAcentral is "partial 16S ribosomal RNA". The record is from RNAcentral.